This 434-nucleotide ribosomal RNA is filed under the name uncultured Clostridiales Family XIV bacterium. Its description in RNAcentral is "bacterial SSU rRNA". It matches the Rfam family "Bacterial small subunit ribosomal RNA", at positions 341 to 792 of the family's 1533-position model. The record is from RNAcentral. Lineage: Bacteria; Bacillati; Bacillota; Clostridia; Eubacteriales; Clostridiales Family XIV. Incertae Sedis.
ACGGAAGGCAGCAGUGGGGAAUAUUGCACAAUGGGGGAAACCCUGAUGCAGCGACGCCGCGUGAGUGAAGAAGUAUUUCGGUAUGUAAAGCUCUAUCAGCAGGAAAGAAAAUGACGGUACCUGACUAAGAAGCCCCGGCUAACUACGUGCCAGCAGCCGCGGUAAUACGUAGGGGGCAAGCGUUAUCCGGAUUUACUGGGUGUAAAGGGAGCGUAGACGGCUUUGCAAGUCUGAAGUGAAAGCCCGGGGCUCAACCCCGGAACUGCUUUGGAAACUGUAGAGCUAGAGUGCAGGAGAGGUAAGUGGAAUUCCUAGUGUAGCGGUGAAAUGCGUAGAUAUUAGGAGGAACAUCAGUGGCGAAGGCGGCUUACUGGGCUUUAACUGACGCUGAGGCUCGAAAGCGUGGGGAGCAAACAGGAUUAGAUACCCUGGUA